CCCAGGUAAAGUAGAUAUGAACAGAAUCUCCUCUGUGACUAUACCGUCACUGAUGGAGAGAAUGAUCCAGCAAAUCCCUUUCCCAGACAUCCCAAAUUGCCUUUGGUCGCUACUAUAUCGCUGCAUCUGAUGAAACAACAGCAGCAUACACGGUUAAAACACGACAGUGAAAAAAAUAAUAACGUUACAGAAGACGUCCAUGUACUUGUGACACCAAGACCUCACGGACGACUCUACAUCUGGAAAACUGUCUCAGUUGCAUUAUGGAGGAGAGACAGGCAUCUUCUCAUGCCCAAGAUUAUCCGACUCACCCGCUGGUCCCCUCCCUCUCGGCGGGGAUCGAGCUUCUUGGUGAAGUGCCUCAGGUUGUCAUAGUUGUGGAAGUUGAACAAGGACACUAGAUCCUACAGCCGGAGAGAAAGCCACAGGGGAUCAGUCUUAGAGGUCAAAGGUUCAAGCGCACACACACUGAAGCACUGUGUUGAGUGUCUGAAAGUGGUCUGCUAGUGACAGGAAAGUAGAGAAGAAGAGAAGGUGCCUGCUUUCAUUAAAGCCCAUGAUGAUGCUGAAAUGAACCUCCAUCACGAUUAAACUUCUCAGAUUCCAGAACUAUUCUUUUUUUCUUCCCUAU
Carassius gibelio (silver crucian carp) is the source of this 631-nucleotide long non-coding RNA. RefSeq lists it as uncharacterized. NCBI's taxonomy places the organism in Eukaryota, Metazoa, Chordata, Actinopteri, Cypriniformes, Cyprinidae. The record is from RefSeq and is a predicted model, not a curated record. The transcript is spliced from 4 exons.